CCUACGGGUGGCAGCAGUCGAGAAUCAUUCACAAUGGGGGAAACCCUGAUGGUGCGACGCCGCGUGGGGGAAUGAAGGUCUUCGGAUUGUAAACCCCUGUCAUGUGGGAGCAAAUUAAAAAGAUAGUACCACACGAGGAAGAGACGGCUAACUCUGUGCCAGAAGCCGCGGUAAUACAGAGGGAUUAAGCGUUGUUAGGAAUCAUUGGGCGUAAAGCGUGCGUAGGCGGGUUCGUAAGUUGUGUGUGAAAGGCGCGGGCUCAAACCGCGGAGAGCAACUGAUACUGGGAGACUAGAGUAAUGGAGGGGGAAGCGGAAUGCUCGGUGUAGCGGUGAAAUGCGUAGAUAUCGAGAGGAACACUGGUGGCGAAGGCGGGUUCCUGGACAUUAACUGACGCUGAGGCACGAAGGCCAGGGGAGCGAAAGGGAUUAGAUACCCUGGUAGUC
This 446-nucleotide ribosomal RNA is filed under the name uncultured bacterium. Its description in RNAcentral is "partial 16S ribosomal RNA". It matches the Rfam family "Bacterial small subunit ribosomal RNA", at positions 338 to 795 of the family's 1533-position model. The record is from RNAcentral.